RNAcentral lists this ribosomal RNA (2944 nucleotides) under Acinetobacter baumannii. RNAcentral's name for it is "bacterial LSU rRNA". It matches the Rfam family "Bacterial large subunit ribosomal RNA". The record is from RNAcentral. Lineage: Bacteria; Pseudomonadati; Pseudomonadota; Gammaproteobacteria; Moraxellales; Moraxellaceae.
GUUGUAUAGUCAAGUAAUUAAGUGCAUGUGGUGGAUGCCUUGGCAGUCAGAGGCGAUGAAAGACGUGAUAGCCUGCGAAAAGCUCCGGGGAGGCGGCAAAUAUCCUUUGAUCCGGAGAUGUCUGAAUGGGGGAACCCACCUACUUUAAGGUAGGUAUUGCAACAUGAAUACAUAGUGUUGCAAGGCGAACGAGGGGAAGUGAAACAUCUCAGUACCCUUAGGAAAAGAAAUCAAUUGAGAUUCCCUCAGUAGCGGCGAGCGAACGGGGAUCAGCCCAUUAAGUUAUGUGUGUUUUAGUGGAACGCUCUGGGAAGUGCGAACGUAGAGGGUGAUAUUCCCGUACACGAAAGGGCACACAUAAUGAUGACGAGUAGGGCGAGGCACGUGAAACCUUGUCUGAAUAUGGGGGGACCAUCCUCCAAGGCUAAAUACUCCUGACUGACCGAUAGUGAACCAGUACCGUGAGGGAAAGGCGAAAAGAACCCCUGUGAGGGGAGUGAAAUAGAUCCUGAAACCGCAUGCAUACAAGCAGUGGGAGCACCUUCGUGGUGUGACUGCGUACCUUUUGUAUAAUGGGUCAGCGACUUAUAUUCAGUAGCAAGGUUAACCGUAUAGGGGAGCCGUAGAGAAAUCGAGUCUUAAUAGGGCGUUUAGUUGCUGGGUAUAGACCCGAAACCAGGCGAUCUAUCCAUGAGCAGGUUGAAGGUUGGGUAACACUAACUGGAGGACCGAACCCACUGUCGUUGAAAAGCCAGGGGAUGACUUGUGGAUAGGGGUGAAAGGCUAAUCAAGCCUGGUGAUAGCUGGUUCUCCCCGAAAGCUAUUUAGGUAGCGCCUCGGACGAAUACCAUAGGGGGUAGAGCACUGUUUCGGCUAGGGGGUCAUCCCGACUUACCAAACCGAUGCAAACUCCGAAUACCUAUGAGUACUAUCCGGGAGACAGACUGCGGGUGCUAACGUCCGUAGUCAAGAGGAAAACAAUCCAGACCGCCAGCUAAGGCCCCAAAAUCAUAGUUAAGUGGGAAACGAUGUGGGAAGGCAUAGACAGCUAGGAGGUUGGCUUANNNNNNNNNNNNNNNNNNNNNNGAAGCAGCCACCCUUUAAAGAAAGCGUAAUAGCUCACUAGUCGAGUCGGCCUGCGCGGAAGAUGUAACGGGGCUAAAACUAUGUGCCGAAGCUGCGGAUUUGACAUUAGUCAAGUGGUAGGGGAGCGUUCUGUAAGCCGAUGAAGGUGUAUUGAGAAGUNNNNNAUGCUGGAGGUAUCAGAAGUGCGAAUGCUGACGUGAGUAACGACAAAACGGGUGAAAAACCCGUUCGCCGAAAGACCAAGGGUUCCAGUCCAACGUUAAUCGGGGCUGGGUGAGUCGACCCCUAAGGCGAGGCCGAAAGGCGUAGUCGAUGGGAAAAUGGUUAAUAUUCCAUUACUUCUGUGUAAUGCGAUGAGAGGACGGAGAAGGCUAAAUCAGCCUGGCGUUGGUUGUCCAGGUGAAAGGAUGUAGGCAUGUAUCUUAGGCAAAUCCGGGGUACUCUAUGCUGAGAUCUGAUAGCAAGCUGUACUUGUACAGCGAAGUGGUUGAUGCCAUGCUUCCAGGAAAAGUCUCUAAGCUUCAGUUACACAGGAAUCGUACCCGAAACCGACACAGGUGGUCAGGUCGAGUAGACCAAGGCGCUUGAGAGAACUCUGCUGAAGGAACUAGGCAAAAUGGUACCGUAACUUCGGGAGAAGGUACGCUGUUGUUGGUGAUGGAACUCGCUUCCUGAGCUGACGACAGCCGCAGAAACCAGGCCGCUGCAACUGUUUAUUAAAAACAUAGCACUCUGCAAACACGAAAGUGGACGUAUAGGGUGUGAUGCCUGCCCGGUGCUGGAAGGUUAAUUGAUGGGGUUAGCGUAAGCGAAGCUCUUGAUCGAAGCCCCAGUAAACGGCGGCCGUAACUAUAACGGUCCUAAGGUAGCGAAAUUCCUUGUCGGGUAAGUUCCGACCUGCACGAAUGGCAUAAUGAUGGCGGCGCUGUCUCCAGCAGAGGCUCAGUGAAAUCGAAAUCGCUGUGAAGAUGCAGUGUACCCGCGGCUAGACGGAAAGACCCCGUGAACCUUUACUGCAGCUUGACACUGAACUUUGACCUUACUUGUGUAGGAUAGGUGGGAGGCUUUGAAGCUGGAACGCUAGUUCCAGUGGAGCCGUCCUUGAAAUACCACCCUGGUAAUGUUGAGGUUCUAACUCUGUCCCGUGAUCCGGGACGAGGACCGUGUCUGGUGGGUAGUUUGACUGGGGCGGUCUCCUCCUAAAGAGUAACGGAGGAGUACGAAGGUGCGCUCAGCGUGGUCGGAAAUCACGCGUAGAGUAUAAAGGCAAAAGCGCGCUUAACUGCGAGACCCACAAGUCGAGCAGGUACGAAAGUAGGUCUUAGUGAUCCGGUGGUUCUGUAUGGAAGGGCCAUCGCUCAACGGAUAAAAGGUACUCUGGGGAUAACAGGCUGAUACCGCCCAAGAGUUCAUAUCGACGGCGGUGUUUGGCACCUCGAUGUCGGCUCAUCUCAUCCUGGGGCUGAAGCAGGUCCCAAGGGUAUGGCUGUUCGCCAUUUAAAGAGGUACGCGAGCUGGGUUUAGAACGUCGUGAGACAGUUCGGUCCCUAUCUACCGUGGGCGCUGGAAAUUUGAGAGGAUCUGCUCCUAGUACGAGAGGACCAGAGUGGACGAACCUCUGGUGUACCGGUUGUGACGCCAGUCGCAUCGCCGGGUAGCUAUGUUCGGAAGGGAUAACCGCUGAAAGCAUCUAAGCGGGAAGCCUACCUCAAGAUAAGAUUUCCCUAGGACUUUAUGUCCUCUAAAGAGCCGUUCGAGACUAGGACGUUGAUAGGUUGGAUGUGGAAGCAUAGUGAUAUGUGAAGCUGACCAAUACUAAUUGCUCGUGAGGCUUGACUAUACAACACCCAAGCAGUUG